RNAcentral lists this ribosomal RNA (420 nucleotides) under uncultured bacterium. RNAcentral's name for it is "bacterial SSU rRNA". It matches the Rfam family "Bacterial small subunit ribosomal RNA", at positions 30 to 452 of the family's 1533-position model. The record is from RNAcentral.
AUUGAACGCUGGCGGCAUGCCUUACACAUGCAAGUCGAACGGCAGCACGGGAGCAAUCCUGGUGGCGAGUGGCGAACGGGUGAGUAAUGUAUCGGAACGUACCUUUCAGUGGGGGAUAACGUAGCGAAAGUUACGCUAAUACCGCAUAUUCUGUGAGCAGGAAAGCAGGGGAUCGCAAGACCUUGCGCUGGUUGAGCGGCCGAUAUCAGAUUAGCUAGUUGGUGAGGUAAAGGCUCACCAAGGCGACGAUCUGUAGCGGGUCUGAGAGGAUGAUCCGCCACACUGGAACUGAGACACGGUCCAGACUCCUACGGGAGGCAGCAGUGGGGAAUUUUGGACAAUGGGCGCAAGCCUGAUCCAGCCAUGCCGCGUGAGUGAAGAAGGCCUCGGUUGUAAGACUCUUCUAGCCGGAGAAACGAC